AUUGAACGCUGGCGGAAUGCUUUACACAUGCAAGUCGAACGGCAGCACGGACUUCGGUCUGGUGGCGAGUGGCGAACGGGUGAGUAAUGUAUCGGAACGUGCCCAGUCGUGGGGGAUAACGUGGUGAAAAUUACGCUAAUACUGCAUACGAUCUAUGGAUGAAAGCGGGGGAUCGCAAGACCUCGCGCGAUUGGAGCGGCCGAUAUCAGAUUAGGUAGUUGGUGGGGUAAAGGCCCACCAAGCCAACGAUCUGUAGCUGGUCUGAGAGGACGACCAGCCACACUGGAACUGAGACACGGUCCAGACUCCUACGGGAGGCAGCAGUGGGGAAUUUUGGACAAUGGGCGAAAGCCUGAUCCAGCCAUUCCGCGUGCGGGAUGAAGGCCCUCGGGUUGUAAACUGCUUUUGUACAGAACGAAAAGGUUUCUACUAAUACUAGGAGCUCAUGACGGUACUGUAAGAAUAAGCACCGGCUAACUACGUGCCAGCCGCCGCGGUAA
This 500-nucleotide ribosomal RNA is filed under the name uncultured bacterium. RNAcentral's name for it is "partial 16S ribosomal RNA". It matches the Rfam family "Bacterial small subunit ribosomal RNA", at positions 30 to 523 of the family's 1533-position model. The record is from RNAcentral.